GAUGAACGCUGGCGGUAUGCUCAACACAUGCAAGUCGAACGGACUCUUCGGAGUUAGUGGCGGACGGGUGAGUAACGCGUGAGAAUCUGGCUUUGGGUUCGGGACAACCACUGGAAACGGUGGCUAAUACCGGAUGUGCCGAGAGGUAAAAGAGAAAUUGCCUGAAGAUGAGCUCGCGUCUGAUUAGCUAGUUGGUGAGGUAAAGGCUCACCAAGGCAGCGAUCAGUAGCUGGUCUGAGAGGAUGACCAGCCACACUGGGACUGAGACACGGCCCAGACUCCUACGGGAGGCAGCAGUGGGGAAUUUUCCGCAAUGGGCGAAAGCCUGACGGAGCAGUACCGCGUGAGGGAAGAAGGCUCUUGGGUUGUAAACCUCUUUUCUUAGGGAAGAACAAAAUGACGGUACCUAAGGAAUCAGCAUCGGCUAACUCCGUG
This 435-nucleotide ribosomal RNA is filed under the name uncultured bacterium. RNAcentral's name for it is "partial 16S ribosomal RNA". It matches the Rfam family "Bacterial small subunit ribosomal RNA", at positions 28 to 507 of the family's 1533-position model. The record is from RNAcentral.